RNAcentral lists this long non-coding RNA (611 nucleotides) under Felis catus (domestic cat). RNAcentral's name for it is "lncRNA (ENSFCAG00000052071.1)". Lineage: Eukaryota; Metazoa; Chordata; Mammalia; Carnivora; Felidae. The record is from RNAcentral.
CAGGAGGUGCUAUAGCAGUGAUGGCAGUUGCUAGAAAUACAUUUUUUAUUGUUAUUAUUUUUCCCUGUAUUCUUUCAUUGUAGCACCCUAUUCAUGUCAGCUUCCAGACUGAUAUGUCCUGGGAAAAUCGGAUUAUUAAUAUGAUCUUGAAAAGCACCAAUAAAAUCAGGAAUGCAUCAAAGGCAAGAAAUUCAAAGUGCAGCUCGAUGUGACCGUGAGAGAGCUACACUCAAAGGCAGUGUUCACAGACACUGGAAGAUGAUCCUGGAAAGAAUCUGGCCCAUCCUGUUCAAAGUGGGGGUGAACUUCAUAAAGAACAUCAAAAUAUUAUGCUGGCCUUGAAGGAAGAGAGAAAAGUCAUAAAGAACUCCCUGGGAGUCCCAGGUGCAGACUGAAUGAGACCCUGGCAGUGAGGAUCACGUAGACCCACUGAGGAUGUACAGUUUGCUUGUACCUUCAAGAUGAGGUCUGAGAGAUACCAUAAGAGAUAAAUUGCAUGCCCCCACCUUUAGCGGGUUGUGAAUUAAAUGUAAUGGGUUGCAGCCAGAACUUGAAGAUUAACUAGGAUCAAAUAGAAUAAAAACAUCACAGUGCACUGAAUAUAGUAAAAG